This 292-nucleotide ribosomal RNA is filed under the name uncultured Acinetobacter sp. Its description in RNAcentral is "partial 16S ribosomal RNA". It matches the Rfam family "Bacterial small subunit ribosomal RNA", at positions 505 to 796 of the family's 1533-position model. The record is from RNAcentral. Lineage: Bacteria; Pseudomonadati; Pseudomonadota; Gammaproteobacteria; Moraxellales; Moraxellaceae.
GUGUCAGCCGCCGCGGUAAUACAGAGGGUGCGAGCGUUAAUCGGAUUUACUGGGCGUAAAGCGUGCGUAGGCGGCUUAUUAAGUCGGAUGUGAAAUCCCCGAGCUUAACUUGGGAAUUGCAUUCGAUACUGGUGAGCUGGAGUAUGGGAGAGGAUGGUAGAAUUCCAGGUGUAGCGGUGAAAUGCGUAGAGAUCUGGAGGAAUACCGAUGGCGAAGGCAGCCAUCUGGCCUAAUACUGACGCUGAGGUACGAAAGCAUGGGGAGCAAACAGGAUUAGAAACCCCCGUAGUCC